This 497-nucleotide ribosomal RNA is filed under the name uncultured bacterium. RNAcentral's name for it is "partial 16S ribosomal RNA". It matches the Rfam family "Bacterial small subunit ribosomal RNA", at positions 28 to 507 of the family's 1533-position model. The record is from RNAcentral.
GAUGAACGCUGGCGGCGUGCCUAAUACAUGCAAGUCGAGCGAACGGACGAGAAGCUUGCUUCUCUGAUGUUAGCGGAGGACGGGUGAGUAACACGUGGAUAACCUACCUAUAAGACGGGGAUAACUUCGGGAAACCGGAGCUAAUACCGGAUGAUAUUUUGAACCGCAUGGUGCAAAAGUGAAAGACGGUCGUGCGGUCACGUAUAGAUGGAUCCGCGCUGCAUUAGCUAGUUGGUAAGGUAACAGCUUACCAAGGCAACGAUGCAUAACCGACCUGAGAGGGUGAUCGCCCACACUGGAAGUUAGCCGCGCUCCUGGCUCCUAAGGUAGGCCGCAGUCUGGUAUCUGCCGCAAUGGGCGAAAGCCUUACGGAGCAGCCCCGCGUGAGUGAUGGCGGUCUUCGGAUCGUAAAGCUCUGUUAUUGGGGAAGAACAUAUUUGUAAGUAACUGUGCACAUCUUGACGGUACCUAAUCAGAAAGCCACGGCUAACUACGUG